AAAUAAUUUCUGCGGAAUUACCAAAAUAAAUUAAUACAAUGGCAAGCAGGGUCGAUCCCACAGAGAGCAGUUAAAAAUCAUUCAAAUCCCUAAAUCUAUAAAAACGGUGAUGCCACCACGCCUUAAAUUUAAGAGGAGUUAAUUAAACUAAGAAUGCAGAAUUAAAUCAAAUAAAAUACGCUUGAAGUAAAUAUAUGAAAAGGGUAAUUCGGCUCAAAUAAAUCCACUCUAAUUCAAC
Molecule: long non-coding RNA, 238 nt
Filed under: Salvia miltiorrhiza (redroot sage)
Lineage: Eukaryota; Viridiplantae; Streptophyta; Magnoliopsida; Lamiales; Lamiaceae
Description: long non-coding RNA (SMIL_LNC012978)
Source: RNAcentral